RNAcentral lists this long non-coding RNA (2062 nucleotides) under Mus musculus (house mouse). Its description in RNAcentral is "long non-coding RNA chr9:108747419-108749481". Lineage: Eukaryota; Metazoa; Chordata; Mammalia; Rodentia; Muridae. The record is from RNAcentral.
GAGAAAAUGGUAGAGCCUUCCGUCUCGUUUGUCUUUUAGAAAGUCCACAGUGUGUUCACAAUGCUGCUUUACUCUCACAGUGGAAGGUGGUAGCAGUUAUACUGGAGGUCUCUGCCCCAGAGGCUCUGUACCAUUUGCUGGCAGCUACACACUUUACAGCUGUGUCUAAACUCAGAAAGAGGCCCAGCAGAUCCGUAUGGGCAGAUUGAGUACUAAGACUCACGUUAGCAGGAAACUUGGAUUCAACACUCUUUCCAGUAGUAGCCAGGAAAGGUUAUCUGGGUUAGGGUUUUUGUUGUUUGUAUUUAGUAGGUUUUUGUUUUGUUUUGUUUUGUUUAACCUCUGUGCUGUUUACAUAAACAAAUUGCUAUCCUUUUCUAAGGAGCCAGGGGUGGCUGGUUAGCUCAGCUGGUCAGGGCAUGGUGCUGAUAUGAGGAGCCAGGGUCUGGAGGUGUUGUCACUUUAUCUGACCUGAGUACUUCCCUGAGUGAGCCCUGCCUGUCCCUUUCACUGGCUGAUAGCGGGAAGCCAGCAGGAGGCUGUGCUGCACAGAGAACUCCUUCCCUUCUAGCGUUACUGCAUAGCGUGCCUAGAAAUCAUCAGUUUUUAAACUCUUAACAAAGAAGCUAUUUUUUUUUAAGGAAAUUAUUUCUCUAUUUAGAGAAUUCACCUUGGAUGUAUUCAUAUACAUGGAGUUUGUCCACUGACUCAGGCAUUUGUCCUAAAUAUCCGUUUUCAAAACUAGGUAUCAUUGGGGGUAGGGGCUGGGUGCAGCUCGGUGACAAAGCACACGGGGCACGUGCAAGGCUCUGGGUUUGGUCUCCAGCACUGUAACAGCCACAGGAAGACAAGUUAUCAUGUAGAAAUGUGGAAUUACUGUGAAGGCCUUUCUAAGUAACAGUCUCGACUUUUGCCAUGGUCACCAUAGCCAAGAAAUGUCCAAAGCAGGUGAGUUGCCACAAUUUUGGUAAUUAGUCACUUUUUCUUGUGUUCCAUGAGGUAAAAGCAGGACUCUCCAGGCUGAUCUGAGUAGCCUACGUUACAGAUCUGGGAAUUGUACAGUCGUAACUACUACUAUGAAGCAGGCAGCUAGCACUGGAAAACCCUCAAAGUGAUCCCGAAUUUUCCUAAGGUCCUUUUCUAUGGUAUUGCUUUAUUAAAUAAAUCAGGCCUUGUACUUUGACAGAAUAACACCUGAUUUCUUGCAAAGGUAAGAGGUGCAUUGGGCUCCAGGAGUAGCCCAGAAGUCCAACCCCAGACCUUAUAAAGACUCUGAACCCUCCCCCACCCUCCAUGCCAGCGUUGGAUAAGGCUGGCUGUGACUCUCCUGCCAGAGUUAUUCCUGUAGGCUGCUAGGGUAGGCCUUCGCCUGCCCUCGCCCUUCCCGGGCUAGGCUUCAGAGUCCUCCUUGUCACCCUUCCUGCCUCACUGACAGCUGCUCUUUUACAGAGAAGGCAUCAAGUCCAAGUUCUGCUGUAGCCACUGAUUGAGUCUUCGCUGCAGUGUGGCCCUGUGUUGGGGCACGUGUGACGGGGUCAUGGGAGAGGUACACGGAGUCUGCGGGAGCUCCGGUGGUGGUGAAAGAUGGCUGUCACCACAGUGCCAGGCCCUGACAGUAUUCCAGGUCUCUCUGCAGCUUAGAGAAUCAGAGGUGACAGACCAGGUUUUUCUCACGGUUGCAGGGUCCCCAUUGUGGCAGGCAACUCCCACAGCAGAUGGCUGGGCCCUAGGAGGAGUAUCAGAAAGAUUCCUUAGGUAGCUCCUCUCUUCUGAGGGUGCGCCUUUCCCUCCCUCCUCCCUGGCUUUGCUAUUGAUUUGAAAUGACAGAGAAUGUUCCUCAGAGCCGUGAGGUCCAGCUGCAGUAUUUCUCUUCCUUUCUGCCCCAGCUUAGCCCACUCACUGUCUUCUCUUGGUUGAAUUCUCUGCAGGACAGGCUCUUUUGUUCUCAUCCUCAGGCUCAUAGUCUUCUUAAAGAAUUAUAUGUUCCUGGUAUAGAGUCUCAGAAAUCAGCAUUGAGCUUUUCUUUGAGCAGUUUAGUAAGCAAAUUCAGCAGCAAAGUGGC